UACAGAGAGUGCAAGCGUUAAUCGGAAUUAUUGGGCGUAAAGCGCGCGUAGGUGGAUGCUUAAGUCGGUUGUGAAAUCCCCGGGCUUAACCUGGGAAUUGCAAUCGAUACUGAAUAUCUUAGAGUAUGGUAGAGGGAAGUGGAAUUUCCGGUGUAGCGGUGAAAUGCGUAGAUAUCGGAAAGAACACCAGUGGCGAAAGCGACUUCCUGGACCAAUACUGACGCUGAGGCGCGAAAGCGUGGGGAGCAAACAGG
This 254-nucleotide ribosomal RNA is filed under the name uncultured bacterium. RNAcentral's name for it is "partial 16S ribosomal RNA". It matches the Rfam family "Bacterial small subunit ribosomal RNA", at positions 524 to 776 of the family's 1533-position model. The record is from RNAcentral.